ACUAAGCGUACACGGUGGAUGCCCUGGCAGUCAGAGGCGAUGAAGGACGUGCUAAUCUGCGAAAAGCGUCGGUAAGGUGAUAUGAACCGUUAUAACCGGCGAUGUCCGAAUGGGGAAACCCAGUGUGAUUCGUCACACUAUCGUUAACUGAAUACAUAGGUUAACGAGGCGAACCGGGGGAACUGAAACAUCUAAGUACCCCGAGGAAAAGAAAUCAACCGAGAUUCCCCCAGUAGCGGCGAGCGAACGGGGAGCAGCCCAGAGUCUGAAUCAGCUUGUGUGUUAGUGGAACGGUCUGGAAAGUCCGACGGUACAGGGUGAUAGUCCCGUACACCAAAAUGCACAGGUUGUGAACUCGAAGAGUAGGGCGGGACACGUGGUAUCCUGUCUGAAUAUGGGGGGACCAUCCUCCAAGGCUAAAUACUCCUGACUGACCGAUAGUGAACCAGUACCGUGAGGGAAAGGCGAAAAGAACCCCGGCGAGGGGAGUGAAAAAGAACCUGAAACCGUGUACGUACAAGCAGUGGGAGCACCUUCGGGUGUGACUGCGUACCUUUUGUAUAAUGGGUCAGCGACUUAUAUUCUGUAGCAAGGUUAACCGUAUAGGGGAGCCGCAGGGAAACCGAGUCUUAACUGGGCGUUAAGUUGCAGGGUAUAGACCCGAAACCCGGUGAUCUAGCCAUGGGCAGGUUGAAGGUUGGGUAACACUAACUGGAGGACCGAACCGACUAAUGUUGAAAAAUUAGCGGAUGACUUGUGGCUGGGGGUGAAAGGCCAAUCAAACCGGGAGAUAGCUGGUUCUCCCCGAAAGCUAUUUAGGUAGCGCCUCGUGAACUCAUCUUCGGGGGUAGAGCACUGUUUCGGCUAGGGGGUCAUCCCGACUUACCAACCCGAUGCAAACUACGAAUACCGAAGAAUGUUAUCACGGGAGACACACGGCGGGUGCUAACGUCCGUCGUGAAGAGGGAAACAACCCAGACCGCCAGCUAAGGUCCCAAAGUCAUGGUUAAGUGGGAAACGAUGUGGGAAGGCACAGACAGCCAGGAUGUUGGCUUAGAAGCAGCCAUCAUUUAAAGAAAGCGUAAUAGCUCACUGGUCGAGUCGGCCUGCGCGGAAGAUGUAACGGGGCUAAACCAUGCACCGAAGCUGCGGCAGCGACACUAUGUGUUGUUGGGUAGGGGAGCGUUCUGUAAGCCUGCGAAGGUGUGCUGUGAGGCAUGCUGGAGGUAUCAGAAGUGCGAAUGCUGACAUAAGUAACGAUAAAGCGGGUGAAAAGCCCGCUCGCCGGAAGACCAAGGGUUCCUGUCCAACGUUAAUCGGGGCAGGGUGAGUCGACCCCUAAGGCGAGGCCGAAAGGCGUAGUCGAUGGGAAACAGGUUAAUAUUCCUGUACUUGGUGUUACUGCGAAGGGGGACGGAGAAGGCUAUGUUAGCCGGGCGACGGUUGUCCCGGUUUAAGCAUGUAGGCUGAUUGUCCAGGCAAAUCCGGAUAAUCAAGGCUGAGGUGUGAUGACGAGGCACUACGGUGCUGAAGUAACAAAUGCCCUGCUUCCAGGAAAAGCCUCUAAGCAUCAGGUAACAUCAAAUCGUACCCCAAACCGACACAGGUGGUCAGGUAGAGAAUACCAAGGCGCUUGAGAGAACUCGGGUGAAGGAACUAGGCAAAAUGGUGCCGUAACUUCGGGAGAAGGCACGCUGGUGUGUAGGUGAAGUCCCUGCGGAUGGAGCUGAGACCAGUCGAAGAUACCAGCUGGCUGCAACUGUUUAUUAAAAACACAGCACUGUGCAAACACGAAAGUGGACGUAUACGGUGUGACGCCUGCCCGGUGCCGGAAGGUUAAUUGAUGGGGUUAUCCGUAAGGAGAAGCUCUUGAUCGAAGCCCCGGUAAACGGCGGCCGUAACUAUAACGGUCCUAAGGUAGCGAAAUUCCUUGUCGGGUAAGUUCCGACCUGCACGAAUGGCGUAAUGAUGGCCAGGCUGUCUCCACCCGAGACUCAGUGAAAUUGAACUCGCUGUGAAGAUGCAGUGUACCCGCGGCAAGACGGAAAGACCCCGUGAACCUUUACUAUAGCUUGACACUGAACAUUGAGCCUUGAUGUGUAGGAUAGGUGGGAGGCUUUGAAGCGUGGACGCCAGUCUGCGUGGAGCCAACCUUGAAAUACCACCCUUUAAUGUUUGAUGUUCUAACGUUGGCCCCUUACCGGGGUUGCGGACAGUGUCUGGUGGGUAGUUUGACUGGGGCGGUCUCCUCCCAAAGCGUAACGGAGGAGCACGAAGGUUAGCUAAUCCUGGUCGGACAUCAGGAGGUUAGUGCAAUGGCAUAAGCUAGCUUGACUGCGAGCGUGACGGCGCGAGCAGGUGCGAAAGCAGGUCAUAGUGAUCCGGUGGUUCUGAAUGGAAGGGCCAUCGCUCAACGGAUAAAAGGUACUCCGGGGAUAACAGGCUGAUACCGCCCAAGAGUUCAUAUCGACGGCGGUGUUUGGCACCUCGAUGUCGGCUCAUCACAUCCUGGGGCUGAAGUAGGUCCCAAGGGUAUGGCUGUUCGCCAUUUAAAGUGGUACGCGAGCUGGGUUUAGAACGUCGUGAGACAGUUCGGUCCCUAUCUGCCGUGGGCGCUGGAGAAUUGAGGGGGGCUGCUCCUAGUACGAGAGGACCGGAGUGGACGCAUCACUGGUGUUCGGGUUGUCAUGCCAAUGGCACUGCCCGGUAGCUAAAUGCGGAAGAGAUAAGUGCUGAAAGCAUCUAAGCACGAAACUUGCCCCGAGAUGAGUUCUCCCUGAGACUUUAAGUCUCCUGAAGGAACGUUGAAGACGACGACGUUGAUAGGCCGGGUGUGUAAGCGCAGCGAUGCGUUGAGCUAACCGGUACUAAUGAACCGUGAGGCUUAACC
Molecule: ribosomal RNA, 2890 nt
Filed under: Klebsiella pneumoniae
Lineage: Bacteria; Pseudomonadati; Pseudomonadota; Gammaproteobacteria; Enterobacterales; Enterobacteriaceae
Description: bacterial LSU rRNA
Rfam family: Bacterial large subunit ribosomal RNA
Source: RNAcentral